CGUUGUAACAAUUGCAUGCAGGCCCACCGAAGCCAGAUGAUUUUUACAAGUUUGUCAGAUGUAACUUUGGUCCUUAAUAACUUCCAGUCUAUAUAGAAAUUGGCCAGUAACCCAGUAGGAGGUGUGACAAUCCAUCUAAGCUGCUGAGAAACACUACCACAGUCCAGUUCAGAUCCAGCCCAUCUCUUCAACCUGGAGGUCUGUUUGGAGAAAGUUCAAAGACAGUCAUCUGGAGGAGACCGUAUCAUCUUGUGUUUCCUACAAGGCAGCUUCCUACAAUGGCUAUUACUGUCUGCAUGAAUCUGACCACAGCUGAAGAAUAAUCUUUGAGCUUCUGUAAACUGCCAUAUACAUUUGGUUCUGAUUUAUAUAAUGCUGCCCUACUGGAAGUUGGGGCUGCUCUUGGUCCCAGGACAAGGCAGUCAGAACCAGCCAAAUAAAAACUGUUUGUCACCUUU
Dipodomys spectabilis (banner-tailed kangaroo rat) is the source of this 458-nucleotide long non-coding RNA. RefSeq lists it as uncharacterized. The record is from RefSeq and is a predicted model, not a curated record. NCBI's taxonomy places the organism in Eukaryota, Metazoa, Chordata, Mammalia, Rodentia, Heteromyidae. The transcript is spliced from 3 exons.